UAACAUUUAGGAAUCUGCCUAGUAGUGGGGGAUAGCUCGGGGAAACUCGAAUUAAUACCGCAUACGACCUACGGGUGAAAGGGGGCGCAAGCUCUUGCUAUUAGAUGAGCCUAAAUCAGAUUAGCUAGUUGGUGGGGUAAAGGCCCACCAAGGCGACGAUCUGUAACUGGUCUGAGAGGAUGAUCAGUCACACCGGAACUGAGACACGGUCCGGACUCCUACGGGAGGCAGCAGUGGGGAAUAUUGGACAAUGGGGGCAACCCUGAUCCAGCCAUGCCGCGUGUGUGAAGAAGGCCUUUUGGUUGUAAAGCACUUUAAGCAGGGAGGAGAGGCUAAUGGUUAAUACCCAUUAGAUUAGACGUUACCUGCAGAAUAAGCACCGGCUAACUCUGUGCCAGCAGCCGCGGUAAUACAGAGGGUGCGAGCGUUAAUCGGAAUUACUGGGCGUAAAGCGAGUGUAGGUGGCUCAUUAAGUCACAUGUGAAAUCCCCGGGCUUAACCUGGGAACUGCAUGUGAUACUGGUGGUGCUAGAAUAUGUGA
This 541-nucleotide ribosomal RNA is filed under the name Enhydrobacter sp. SAJ2-3. Its description in RNAcentral is "bacterial SSU rRNA". It matches the Rfam family "Bacterial small subunit ribosomal RNA", at positions 111 to 653 of the family's 1533-position model. Lineage: Bacteria; Pseudomonadati; Pseudomonadota; Alphaproteobacteria; Hyphomicrobiales. The record is from RNAcentral.